This 253-nucleotide ribosomal RNA is filed under the name uncultured bacterium. RNAcentral describes it as "partial 16S ribosomal RNA". It matches the Rfam family "Bacterial small subunit ribosomal RNA", at positions 524 to 776 of the family's 1533-position model. The record is from RNAcentral.
UACGUAGGGUGCAAGCGUUGUCCGGAAUUAUUGGGCGUAAAGAGCUCGUAGGCGGUGUGUCGCGUCGGCCGUGAAAACCUGCAGCUUAACUGUGGGCUUGCGGUCGAUACGGGCAUCACUGGAGUUCGGCAGGGGAGACUGGAAUUCCUGGUGUAGCGGUGAAAUGCGCAGAUAUCAGGAGGAACACCGGUGGCGAAGGCGGGUCUCUGGGCCGAUACUGACGCUGAGGAGCGAAAGCGUGGGAGCGAACAGG